AUGAACGCUGGCGGCGUGCCUAACACAUGCAAGUCGAGCGAAGCACUUUGCUUAGAUUCUUCGGAUGAAGAGGAUUGUGACUGAGCGGCGGACGGGUGAGUAACGCGUGGGUAACCUGCCUCAUACAGGGGGAUAACAGUUAGAAACGACUGCUAAUACCGCAUAAGACCACAGCACCGCAUGGUGCGGGGGUAAAAACUCCGGUGGUAUGAGAUGGACCCGCGUCUGAUUAGCUAGUUGGUAAGGUAACGGCUUACCAAGGCGACGAUCAGUAGCCGACCUGAGAGGGUGACCGGCCACAUUGGGACUGAGACACGGCCCAAACUCCUACGGGAGGCAGCAGUGGGGAAUAUUGCACAAUGGGGGAAACCCUGAUGCAGCGACGCCGCGUGAGCGAAGAAGUAUUUCGGUAUGUAAAGCUCUAUCAGCAGGGAAGAAAAUGACGGUACCUGACUAAGAAGCACCGGCUAAAUACGUGCCAGCAGCCGCGGUAAUACGUAUGGUGCAAGCGUUAUCCGGAUUUACUGGGUGUAAAGGGAGCGUAGACGGAUGGGCAAGUCUGAUGUGAAACCCGGGGCUCAACCCCGGGACUGCAUUGGAAACUGUUCAUCUAGAGUGCUGGAGAGGUAAGUGGAAUUCCUAGUGUAGCGGUGAAAUGCGUAGAUAUUAGGAGGAACACCAGUGGCGAAGGCGGCUUACUGGA
Molecule: ribosomal RNA, 703 nt
Filed under: uncultured Lachnospiraceae bacterium
Lineage: Bacteria; Bacillati; Bacillota; Clostridia; Lachnospirales; Lachnospiraceae
Description: bacterial SSU rRNA
Rfam family: Bacterial small subunit ribosomal RNA
Source: RNAcentral